Molecule: ribosomal RNA, 482 nt
Filed under: uncultured bacterium
Lineage: Bacteria
Description: partial 16S ribosomal RNA
Rfam family: Bacterial small subunit ribosomal RNA
Source: RNAcentral
GACGAAUGCUGGCGGCGUGCUUAACACAUGCAAGUCGAACGGUGAAGGAGAGCUUGCUCUCUGGAUCAGUGGCGAACGGGUGAGUAACACGUGGGUAACCUGCCCCUCACUUCGGAAUAACCAUCCGAAAGGAUGGCUAAUACCGGAUAUGGAAACCUGGAGGCAUCUCCGGGUUUGGAAAGUUUUUCGGUGAGGGAUGGACCCGCGGCCUAUCAGCUUGUUGGUGAGGUAAUGGCUCACCAAGGCGAAGACGGGUAGCCGGCCUGAGAGGGCGGCCGGCCACACUGGGACUGAGAUACGGCCCAGACUCCUACGGGAGGCAGCAGUGGGGAAUAUUGCACAAUGGGCGAAAGCCUGAUGCAGCGACGCCGCGUGAGGGAUGAAGGCCUUCGGGUUGUAAACCUCUUUCAGUAGGGACGAAGCGCAAGUGACGGUACCUACAGAAGAAGCACCGGCUAACUACGUGCCAGCCGCCGCCGUAA